UAUCUCAUCAAAGAGCUGGGAUAUGCUAACAAAAUGACGUAUCACAGCUAGCUUUGAUGAGCUAGG
Octopus bimaculoides (California two-spot octopus) is the source of this 66-nucleotide non-coding RNA. NCBI's taxonomy places the organism in Eukaryota, Metazoa, Mollusca, Cephalopoda, Octopoda, Octopodidae. The record is from Rfam.